GGGGUUGUGGCUCAGUGGUAGAGUGCUUGCCUAGCAUGUGCAAGGCCCUAGGUUCGAUCCUCAGCACCA
This 69-nucleotide transfer RNA is filed under the name Ictidomys tridecemlineatus (thirteen-lined ground squirrel). RNAcentral describes it as "Spermophilus tridecemlineatus (thirteen-lined ground squirrel) tRNA". It matches the Rfam family "tRNA". From Rfam's summary of the family: Transfer RNA (tRNA) molecules are approximately 80 nucleotides in length. Their secondary structure includes four short double-helical elements and three loops (D, anti-codon, and T loops). The record is from Rfam by way of RNAcentral. Lineage: Eukaryota; Metazoa; Chordata; Mammalia; Rodentia; Sciuridae.